UGGAACUUGUUUACACUUUCAAAAAGAAUUAAUCAUAAGUGUACGACAUGGUUGUUUACACUUUUCUGCAAUUCCGCCUUCAUUUGGUUUGUCAUGUGGAUGAUGUUCAUGUAUUAUAAUCCUAGUGGGGAGUGUGCCUGAUACUCUACGAAUUCCUGCAGAAUAAGGCAUAAAAAGCGUAAAGUUUACUGAAAAAUCAUGUAUGGUUUCAUAACCACAAGUAUCAUUACACAUGAUUAUCCUCGCAUGUCAUGCAAAACUAAAAGGAAAAUAGAAGCAAUUCAUGAGUCAAAAACUAAAUCUUGAUUGGAACAUUUCUAGAUGAAGCAUAAGCUUACUGGUUCCUUCUUGGUUUGCCCCGUAUUCACAGAGACCUCCUGCAAGAUAUAGAAGCAAUCGUCAUAGAAAUUGUGUUUGCUCGGGUGGUGAAAUGUGGAACAACAUUAUUCAUUCAGUAUAUAAUGAUGG
This 468-nucleotide long non-coding RNA is filed under the name Solanum tuberosum (potato). RNAcentral's name for it is "long non-coding RNA (STUB_LNC008359)". Lineage: Eukaryota; Viridiplantae; Streptophyta; Magnoliopsida; Solanales; Solanaceae. The record is from RNAcentral.